RNAcentral lists this ribosomal RNA (253 nucleotides) under uncultured bacterium. Its description in RNAcentral is "partial 16S ribosomal RNA". It matches the Rfam family "Bacterial small subunit ribosomal RNA", at positions 524 to 776 of the family's 1533-position model. The record is from RNAcentral.
UACGGGGGGGGCAAGCGUUGUUCGGAGUUACUGGGCGUAAAGGGUGUGUAGGCGGUCCUCUAAGUUUGGUGUGAAAUCUCCCGGCUCAACUGGGAGGGUGCGCCGAAAACUGGAGGGCUAGAGUACUGGAUGGGAGAGUGGAAUUCCUGGUGUAGCGGUGAAAUGCGUAGAUAUCAGGAGGAACACCUGUGGUGUAGACGGCUCUCUGGACAGUAACUGACGCUGAGACACGAAAGCGUGGGUAGCAAACAGG